RNAcentral lists this ribosomal RNA (626 nucleotides) under Potamocypris zschokkei. Its description in RNAcentral is "SSU rRNA". It matches the Rfam family "Eukaryotic small subunit ribosomal RNA", at positions 1113 to 1664 of the family's 1831-position model. Lineage: Eukaryota; Metazoa; Arthropoda; Ostracoda; Podocopida; Cyprididae. The record is from RNAcentral.
UCCGGGGGAAGUAUGGUUGCAAAGCUGGAACUUAAAGGAAUUGACGGAAGGGCACCACCAGGAGUGGAGCCUGUGGCUUAAUUUGACUCAACACGGGGAAACUUACCAGGUCAGGACACUGGAAGGAUUGACAGAUUGAGAGCUCUUUCUCGAUUCGGUGGAUGGUGGUGCAUGGCCGUUCUUAGUUGGUGGAGUGAUUUGUCUGGUUAAUUCCGAUAACGAACGAGACUCUGGCCUGCUAAAUAAGGCGGCGGGUCCCCAACCCCAUCCGGCGCUGCGUCUUGGGCUUCGGCUCCUGGCGUUUGUGUCGGAGGGGGCCGCCCGCAAUGAAGUAAUCUUCUUAGAGGGACAAGGCAGCUUCAAGCUGCGUGAAAUGGGGCAAUAACAGGUCUGUGAUGCCCUUAGAUGUUCUGGGCCGCACACGCGCGACAAUUGCUCGGGCAGCGUGUUAGCAAGGCCGCCGUCCUUCGGGGCGCGCGGCGUGAGUCCUGGCCCGAAACGGGUCGGGUAACCCUGUCAAUCCGAACGGUGCUGGGGAUUGAGGUUUGCAAUUCUCCUUCAUGAACGAGGAAUUCCCAGUAGGUGCGAGUCAUCAGCUCGCGCCGACUACGUCCCUGCCCUUUGUA